Molecule: ribosomal RNA, 484 nt
Filed under: uncultured bacterium
Lineage: Bacteria
Description: partial 16S ribosomal RNA
Rfam family: Bacterial small subunit ribosomal RNA
Source: RNAcentral
AUUGAACGCUGGCGGCAGGCCUAACACAUGCAAGUCGAGCGGAUGAAGGGAGCUUGCUCCUGGAUUCAGCGGCGGACGGGUGAGUAAUGCCUAGGAAUCUGCCUGGUAGUGGGGGAUAACGUCCGGAAACGGGCGCUAAUACCGCAUACGUCCUGAGGGAGAAAGUGGUGGAUCUUCGGACCUCACGCUAUCAGAUGAGCCUAGGUCGGAUUAGCUAGUUGGUGGGGUAAAGGCCUACCAAGGCGACGAUCCGUAACUGGUCUGAGAGGAUGAUCAGUCACACUGGAGCUGAGACACGGUCCAGACUCCUACGGGAGGCAGCAGUGGGGAAUAUUGGACAAUGGGCGAAAGCCUGAUCCAGCCAUGCCGCGUGUGUGAAGAAGGUCUUCGGAUUGUAAAGCACUUUAAGUUGGGAGGAAGGGCAGUAAGUUAAUACCUUGCUGUUUUGACGUUACCAACAGAAUAAGCACCGGCUAACUUCGUG